This 329-nucleotide ribosomal RNA is filed under the name uncultured eukaryote. RNAcentral describes it as "partial 18S ribosomal RNA". It matches the Rfam family "Eukaryotic small subunit ribosomal RNA", at positions 1470 to 1796 of the family's 1831-position model. The record is from RNAcentral.
CCCUUAGAUGUUCUGGGCCGCACGCGCGCUACACUGAUGCAUUCAACGAGUCUAAAACCUGCUCUGAUAGGGGUGGGUAAUCUUUUGAAUGUGCAUCGUGAUUGGGAUAGAUGAUUGCAAUUUUUCGUCUUCAACGAGGAAUGCCUAGUAAACGCAAGUCAUCAGCUUGCAUUGAUUACGUCCCUGCCCUUUGUACACACCGCCCGUCGCUCCUACCGAUUGAAUGAUCCGAUGAAUAUCAUGGAUUGAGGAUGCAAGUAGGUUAGCCUAUCUUCAUCUUCGAGAAGUGAAGUAAAUCUUAUCAUUUAGAGGAAGGAGAAGUCGUAACA